GAAGGCGGGGAGCAGUUGGCUUGGUUAGUCUGCUGAUUAGCAACAAACAGAAGGUUACGAGUUAGAAAAAUUGGAUUAUUUGCCCACCAGAGCGCCUUCGUGGCUACAGAAGCGGGGUUAACUAUGUCGGGGGCCUAACCGGAGCUUAUUAGUUGGCUUUUGAGGGCGAAAGGCGGAUAUUUGUGAAAUUUCUGAGCCUUUCGCGGCGAGAGAGAGAGAGAGGGUCCACCUCGCUUUUAGGUCGUUUCAAGUGGCGAUGCUUUAGCUGAUAGCUGCGUCAUCAUGUUGCUUCCGAGUCGAGUUGGCGAGAAGAAAUCACAAGUUAUCGCCGGGAGGUGAGGCUGCCCGCCGACAUCCAGCCCCGGAGGCCACUCCCGACCCUUGAAGUACGUGGAAGACGGGCUGUCGGUGGGAGACUGGCGGCGAAGCCUGCUUAGUUUACGUCGUUGUGGGGACUUUACAUCGCUUGCCUCGGUGUAGUUGGCGCGAUUCCCCCAACUUAACUGUAUUUAUUUAACCCACUGUAGGAUAUGAAUUCGCACGUUUUAAAUUAAUGUUAUUUACAGAAAAAGAGCCUAGAAAGAAAGAAAGUGGAAGUGUAACUACUGAUGGGAAGGUAUGCUUGCCACAACUGUUUGGAUAGUGGGAAGUGAUGCUCUCAUUGACAGCUUGAACACAAGCAGGACCAUCCAGAGAGAAGUCCUCGUUAUCUGAGCUAAAACAGGCGUUUCUAAGAGACAAUGGGAGACGGUUCUGUUAACUCCCACUGAUUGACUCUCGUUUUUAUUAGAUCAAGGCUGAUUGAUCGGUUUGCUGCGUCAGGGGGUCUCUAUCAUCACAUCCACGUGGACUUUGUCUCAGGUCAUUUGGGAAAGUUUUGAUCCCCUUUCCCCUGCCGUCCUCAAUCUGGGUGGGAUAACCACACUUUAUAUAGAUUUGUUUAUUUAAAACUGAAGAAAACUUGUUAGAAAAAAUAAAAUAAAAUAAAAAUGGACGGCGACUGCACUGUUUAUGCGUCCAAGCACGGGAUCGAGUCUGCGGGGCGCAGAUCCUCUAACUUUGAGGUGAUGGACGGGCUGCUGUACCGCAGGAAGUUUGAAAGGGGCUUCAUCAACUACCGGGAGGUUCUGGGUGAGGACCGGAGGCAAGAGGCCAUCUCCACCUUCCACAGGCGGCGACCCGGCCAGCGCCACCUCUCCCUGGAGGAGACCUAUAAAUGCGUGGCUGAGAACUACUGGUGGGAGGGAAUGUACUUCCAGAUCAGAGACUUUGUCCUGCACUGUCCACAAUGUAAGAAUCUGCACAGUAAAACAUCAGCGGGGUUCGGUGGUAGGAGGUGUGUAUCUAAGACGGUACCGUCACACGGCGCCGACUUACUGAGCAAGCUGAGGAGUCAGAGGGAGGCGGGGCAGUUCUGUGACAUCAUCCUUCGAACCAACGGGGGAUCCUUCGCAGCUCACCGAGCCGUCCUGGCCGCCGUCAGCGAUCACUUCCAUGAAGUUUUGGCUGAAAUGGACUCGAGCAAGAAAGCAGACAUCGAUCUCUCUGGUUUCAGUGAGGACAGUCUUUUGUCUCUGCUGGACUUCUCCUACUCGUCCACCCUGUGUGUUCGUCAGGAGGAUCUCCCAGAAGUCUGUGCGAUGGCGCGUCACCUGGGCAUGUGGCCGGCCGUGGAAGCCUGCUCUGCCCUCCUCAAAGAGCAGGAGCACCAUCUCAAUGCCCCUAGCAAGGCCUUCAGCUCAGCUCAUGCCGGUCCGUUCAGCCAGCACCGUCACCACCAAAGGGAAGGACUCUUGAAACUAGAGAACAUGAACGAAAGCUUUAGCCUAACACUAGAGACGUCCGAUGAGUCUUUACAAGAAAGUCCUAAGCGUAACUUGCGCCGAAUGCCAAAAUCCCAAGUUCAGAACGGCCUCCCUCUGAGUCCCUCGCACAGGAUGAAGCUCAUGGACUUCAAGUCUCCCUCUUCCAAAAAAGCCAGCACACCUCGCCACGUCAUCGUCGCCACUAGGUCACAGAACUAUUCGCCCCUCUCAGCGUCAAGCACCCGUCUUCUCCGCUCCUCUCCCGGAGCCGCCAAAGAGGUUCAGAGGUUCCUAUCUAAGCCAGAGACACCUAAGAAGAACAGAAAGUCCCACUCUGUCGCCCAACUGUCAUGCACGUCCAGGUCGCGGCCGGGAACGUCCUGCAGCCCGGUCAGGGUGAAGCAGGAAGUGGAGGAGGUCGGGGAGGACGAGGAGGAUUACGCAAGAGCGCAGGAGAAGUACAAGCUCAUGAAUGUCCUGGGACUCCAGAGGACAGCUCUCCUUCCCAGACCAGAAGAUCUAAUCGGCUGGAAGCAGAAGAAACGGCUUCGGAAGUUAAAAGCCAACAACUACUCUCUGACCAAGCGACGGAAACCACGUUCUUCAUCCCCCGGAACCUCAUACGAAGAUAUGAAGCUGACACUUCCUCUCUGUAACCCCGUCAACACUCAACUCCUCAAAAAGUCGGUCAAGUCCAAGGGUUUGGGAUCCUCCAGAGCCGAGCAGAUCCCAACGAAGAGGCAGAAGAGCAUCAAGCAGCGCAUUCCUCCCUCCGACAGGAGCAUGAGAAGUAAAGUGGUUUUACCGGACCUGUUUCCACGUUCCUCCACUCCGGUGUACGGUGGUAGGGAACUCAGGCGGUCUGUGAGGAAACGCGACAGCACCCAGCAGCCUGUGCGUUACACCAGCAAGAAAAGCUUUGUUAGAAACGUGGUUAAAAUCAAAGCAGAAACGACUGAAUACUCCAUCUCAAGUCUGAGGCUGUCCACACAUGGACAGAGCGGACACGCAUCUCCAAACUCCCUGCCUUCACAGAGAACACAGAGCAGAAAAAAGGUCGCCGGAGAUGCGGUGAAAACGCUCCGGUACAACAGCAGCCGACCGGGAGCGAAGGCCAAGCUGAGACGGGCGUCCACAAAGGAGGAGGACAAGACGAGGGGCCAGUCCAGAGAGGCAGGAAGACCAGUGGUAAAGGAUCCUGAACCCAAUGGUCUUUCAGAGCAUACGCCUCCACCCUCGAUUUAUAGUCACCCUCUUUACAAAACAAUCAAAGAAGAACCAGCCGAUCCAGUGCCAGUCGGACCUUUCCCUGACCCCCCCUCACCUGACCUGGGCAAACGUCAGAGCAAGCCGCCCAUCAAACUGCUGGACUCUGGUUUCCUGUUCAGCUUCUGUCGGCCGGCGGGGGGUUCCAUGACCGGCCUGAAGAAGGAGGAGGAGAGUGUGGCCAUCUGUCUGACGCGCUCCGUGUCUCAGGUUCCAGAAAAAUUCGACACAGACGGGUCUCCCCAGCGGACGCUGAGAGCCAGGGGUCCGCUGGGCCUCAGCGUGGUGAAAAGGGAGGAGAGAAGAGUCACACAAGGACAGAGUCAGAGACAUGGACUGAAGUCCAGAGAACCUAGAACGCAUCUGGACAAAUGUGCUGGGUCCAAAGCUACAAGGACGAUGCCAAAGAGACAAAAUAAGGCCCAUACCCUGAGCAGCAGCCGGAGCUGCACCAUGCUGGACGCCGUACAUCGGGCCCGCCUAAAGCAGCUCCGAGGGCCUCGCAGCCAAGCACCCAAAGUCCCAAAGGCCUCCCACGCCUGUCUGCAAUGUCCAGCUGCCUACAAGGACUGCGACGCCCUAAUUAUGCAUCAGCUGAGGCACAUUGAUGGAAAGCACUGGCCUUGUCCGCUCUGCAGCAAGACCUUCUUCAGACUGAGGAAUGUUCGGAAUCACAUCCGCACCCACGACCCAAAGUUGUACAAAUGCCGGAGCUGCAUUGCAGCCGGUUCGUGAGGCAGCCGGAGACGCCCGCUUCUAGCACAGGCACAUGGAGGUCGGUGAAGCGAAUACUCUCAAAGACUGAGCUGAUGAAAGCCAUCAGUGUCUCACCAGCAGCCAUCGGGCUGAAGCCAGAGGCACAUGAUGGAUCCCAAGCUUGUACAUACUGAAUCCAGUCACACUUGAGCACAACGGUCUGCAGAAAGGCGUCACUGCUGUUAUCAACGAUUGCUAAAAUUAUUUAAAAUAAUCAAACCAAGGUUGCCGUUCCUGUUUGCUUCUUUGGUAGCUACAGAAACUUGAACAUUUACUCUCAGGGGGGUGGGGAAUGUGAUGCCACGUUGUACAGCGAUUUCUCGUCACAGUUGUAUAAAAAGAAAAAAAAAAAAAGAAAUGUAAAGUGAUUGAUAUAACUAUUACUGCUACUUAUUGUUACCUUUAUUUUUCUAUGUAUAGAUGAAUGUUGAGUGCACUUAUGUCAUAGCUUAUGUUGUAAACCUAAGAAUUGGUAAUGAAACUGAAGGUUUGGAGUCUGAGGUGGGAAUACUUGAAGUUGUGAAAGUGCUGGGGGGGUGGGGCAUACUUGAAGGUGGGGGUCCAGUUGAUCGUUUUCCUGUGGUGUGCUAAUGUUUCAAUGACUUGAUAUCUUUUGGCAUUGAUCUGGUGGGGAGUGCAGGGAGGGGUUGUACGAAGACACCACUGCAUGUGUAUCUUCAGGCCAUUUGUAGUCCUCUGCCUUUUCUAAGGCUGCUGGGUCUAAAAAGGGAAAAGUGUCGGUUUUUAUAAAUGUGAAUUUCUUAACUUUAUUCAAGAUGGCCGCAUCACGACAGAUGUUUUAUUAAUCUCUUCUUUAAUGCAAGACCAGAUCAUCUUGCUCUACUUAAGUUUCCCUCUCUACUGAGUAAAUGCAAUGUGCACAUACAGAGAUGUUUAUGUAUCACAAAAUGAUUUUAGAAAUAAACGAGCUGUCUCCUGCUAUCUGUUUAAAGAUUAAAUAAAUUUUUGCCUUUAA
Gambusia affinis (western mosquitofish) is the source of this 4803-nucleotide RNA transcript. RefSeq lists it as uncharacterized. NCBI's taxonomy places the organism in Eukaryota, Metazoa, Chordata, Actinopteri, Cyprinodontiformes, Poeciliidae. The record is from RefSeq and is a predicted model, not a curated record. The transcript is spliced from 7 exons.